RNAcentral lists this long non-coding RNA (423 nucleotides) under Setaria italica (foxtail millet). RNAcentral's name for it is "long non-coding RNA (SITA_LNC001582)". Lineage: Eukaryota; Viridiplantae; Streptophyta; Magnoliopsida; Poales; Poaceae. The record is from RNAcentral.
GGAAAUUGCAUUUUAAGUGAAAAUGAGAUCUACAAGCUUCAGGCGUCCGCCUCGUUGGCCGUUUCAAUCCGAACAGCCUGUGGCCCUGUGCGUGUCAACCUCUUCGCCUCCAGCUCGACCUUUCGCUGCCAUAUCGCGUACGGCGUACCCAUCACCAGGGGCAUCGUGCGGCUUGCUUCUUCAACGGCGACGGCGAGCUAAGCCACCGGGCGGCAGUGAGCAGGGGAAUUGAGGCAAAUUCGCCCAAUGUUACACUGAGACCUAAUCUGCGGUUCGAAUUCUCCUUCACCGAUGGACGGCGGCGGCUCCUGGUAGCUCGAAUGGCCGAUGGACGAGCGCCCCGGAGGGCGGCGGCGGCGGACGGUCAGCUAGCGGCCGAGCAGCGAGCAAUACGGAGGAGGGGGGCUAAUCUGUAUAAGUUAG